This 442-nucleotide ribosomal RNA is filed under the name uncultured bacterium. Its description in RNAcentral is "partial 16S ribosomal RNA". It matches the Rfam family "Bacterial small subunit ribosomal RNA", at positions 338 to 795 of the family's 1533-position model. The record is from RNAcentral.
CCUACGGGUGGCUGCAGUGGGGAAUAUUGGUCAAUGGGCGCAAGCCUGACCCAGCAACGCCGCGUGAAGGAAGAAGGCUCUCGGGUUGUAAACUUCUUUUAAGAGGGAAGCGCAGAAGACGGUACCUCUUGAAUAAGCCACGGCUAACGACGUGCCAGCAGCCGCGGUAAUACGUAGGUGGCAAGCGUUGUCCGGAUUUCCUGGGUGUAAAGGGCGUGUAGCCGGGCUGACAAGUCAGAUGUGAAAUUCCGGGGCUCAACCCCGGACCUGCAUUUGAAACUGUUGGUCUUGAGUAUCGGAGAGGCAGGCGGAAUUCCUGGUGUAGCGGUGAAAUGCGUAGAUAUUAGGAGGAACACCAGUGGCGAAGGUAGCCUGCUGGACGACAACUGACGGUGAGGCGCGAAAGCGUGGGGAGCAAACAGGAUUAGAUACCCUGGUAGUC